Molecule: ribosomal RNA, 327 nt
Filed under: uncultured eukaryote
Lineage: Eukaryota
Description: partial 18S ribosomal RNA
Rfam family: Eukaryotic small subunit ribosomal RNA
Source: RNAcentral
CCCUUAGAUGUUCGGGGCUGCACACGCGCUACACUGGAGGAAACAGCGUGUAUUGACCUGGUCCGAAAGGACUGGGUAAACCUGUGAAACUUCUCCGUGCUUGGGAUAGCGGAUUGCAAUUGUUUCGCUUCAACGAGGAAUUCCUAGUAAGCGUAAGUCAUCAGCUUGCGUCGAUUACGUCCCUGCCCUUUGUACACACCGCCCGUCGCUCCUACCGAUUGGGUGUGCUGGUGAAAUGUUCGGAUCGGCCGUUUGUCGCGGUUUCCGCGUCAUGUGGCUGAGAAGUUCAUUAAACCCUCCCACCUAGAGGAAGGAGAAGUCGUAACA